GCUGCUCGCACAGAAAUUUCCACCCACAUGCAUGAUGCCAAUUCACGUGCCCAUCACAUGAUACAAAUCCAUGCCCUCUCCCUUCUUUUUAGUUGUUUCCCUCCACCAACAGAAGCUCACCUCGUCCCAAGGAUACCAGAAAGUGUACGUUUUAGUAGAGAAGGUGGCAGUUGAAGCGUCGAGUAGCAAUUGGCGGCAUUAUCGGACGUUCUAUCAAAGUUCGUGUCCUUUGCAAGUCAUGUUCGAAUUAGGUGACUAGGAUAAACGCAGCUUGCGACCUUAAGACAUUCCGAGGACCUAUUCUUGAAGGAAGUAUUUGGAUGCUGCCUUAGGCUAAUCACAUAUAUGCUGAGAAAUUACUAAGAGAGGGUGGUAUCAGUGCUAUAGCUGUAAUCCUCUAUGCAAAGCAAAACUCAAGGAUCCAAGCUGAAAGCACUAGGGAUGGGAAGAGAUUUCUGAGCCAGGCCAUGCAUCUGUGGUAAAGCACAGUUGUUCUAUUGCAAAAUUUGAAAAGAACAAUGUCAUCAUUGAUGAGAGAGUCGAGGAACGAGGAGAAGACAUCGUCGGUGCAGCAGUCGAUGGCUCCAUCUUCUCCACUGUCAGCUGCUCCUUGGCUCCCCUGCAAAUUCAUGGCAGGGAAGCCCUCGGAGUUCUGCCAUCCAUCGUCUCGUUCCAGACUCAAGCCGCCGAAGAAAUCAUCUUGGUCCGCGUGAAUGCCAGCGCCUCCUUGAUCGCCGCUUGUUUGCUGGA
This is a long non-coding RNA of Phoenix dactylifera (date palm), 750 nucleotides long. RefSeq lists it as uncharacterized. The record is from RefSeq and is a predicted model, not a curated record. Lineage: Eukaryota; Viridiplantae; Streptophyta; Magnoliopsida; Arecales; Arecaceae.